AUAAAACCGUUGAUUAAGAAGAGUAGGCUUGGAAUUGUAUUUCACAGAGAGUGUCGUAUUGGUGUGAGCGGCGCAAAUGCAACCGGAUCGAAUGGACUUAUGAGGGCAGGACGAAAGGGUUUUCGAGUAGUGCCUGACGGGGUUCGCCCGUUAAAGCGAUAGCAUAUAUUUGUAUGCGAAAAGAGGACAGGAAACUGUCAAAUUGGGUGGUACCGCAGAAGUUAUACGACUUUUGUCCCAGUA
RNAcentral lists this non-coding RNA (243 nucleotides) under Clostridiales bacterium. Its description in RNAcentral is "T-box sequence". It matches the Rfam family "T-box leader". Rfam says of the family: Uncharged tRNA acts as the effector for transcription antitermination of genes in the T-box leader family. T-boxes are found upstream of many aminoacyl-tRNA synthetase genes and some amino acid biosynthetic genes usually in Gram-positive bacteria. The record is from RNAcentral. Lineage: Bacteria; Bacillati; Bacillota; Clostridia; Eubacteriales.